GUCUUCGUAGCUCAGUUGGUAGAGCAGCUGACUCUUAAUCAGCGGGCCCAGAGUUCGAGUCUCUGCGAGGACACCA
This 76-nucleotide transfer RNA is filed under the name Sphingobacteriales bacterium 44-15. RNAcentral describes it as "tRNA-Lys". It matches the Rfam family "tRNA". From Rfam's summary of the family: Transfer RNA (tRNA) molecules are approximately 80 nucleotides in length. Their secondary structure includes four short double-helical elements and three loops (D, anti-codon, and T loops). Lineage: Bacteria; Pseudomonadati; Bacteroidota; Sphingobacteriia; Sphingobacteriales. RNAcentral also lists the same sequence under 1 other name. The record is from RNAcentral.